RNAcentral lists this long non-coding RNA (1102 nucleotides) under Sus scrofa (pig). Its description in RNAcentral is "lncRNA (ENSSSCG00015010804.1)". The record is from RNAcentral. Lineage: Eukaryota; Metazoa; Chordata; Mammalia; Artiodactyla; Suidae.
CGCAUCUGUUUGCCCUGAUGCUGUUAUCAGAGAAGAAAGCCCCACCGCACCACUUACAUUUGGUUCUUUGUCUGGCGCUUUAUUCUGCAAGUGUUUUCUUUUGCUCUGUGUCCUUGGGGUGCCUGCAGAUUCUGUUCCUGACGAGAGCCCUCUUCCUCACCUGGAGAUAAGCCUCUCUCUGUGCCCUCCCUUGGCAGAGAAAGAUGUCUUCUCUGCCCAAAAACCGAUGAGUUCUGCCGUGAAGGCCUCACCCUCAUGACCUCAUCUAGCCCUGACCACCUCCCCAAAGUCCCGUCUCUACCAUGACCCUGGGGGUUAGGGCUUCCACACACGGUUUUGGGGGGAGGAAACUGGUGUAGAGAAGUGAUUAAGGUAUUUGCUGCCUUUAUGUCCUGCUUUUUUGUAUUCUACCAUUUUCAGACCAUUCUUGAUGGUCAUCUCCAGCUGGUCACGCAGGUUGUUUGAGGCAUCUUGAAGGUAUCUUCACUGACUCAUCACAUAGGCACAGAGCUAAGGUUUAGAAGCCAGUGAGGUGGUUUUGUGCUUAGAAGCUCGCAGAGCACAGCUGUACUUUCUUAACUGGGAGGAAAAACAAGUCCAUGCAGAUGGUGUCGCUGGGAGUCAUUGUCUCUUUGGGCAUGGGACUCCGGGAAGAUGCAAAAUCAGGAUCUGGGCAAGAAGGAUGCUCGCCAAGAUUCCUUUCAAGGCUAAUGACGUACUUUAUGUGCUGCUGAAGUUGACAUUGCAGAUAAUGAAGUUUUGUCCUCUGAUGAAGUUAAUCUUCGUUGUGAGCAUAGUUAAUUUCCCUUCAGGUGUGGAGGUGAAAUUGGUCAAGAAAUUGAACAUGCGGGUCCUCCCCCAUCCUCUCUGACUUAGGAGCACUUGAUACUUAAAAGUCUCUAAUUGCUUACAAAGGAAGGAAGUAUGAUUUUUGUGAAAAGAGAACUCGACGUAAUUAGUGACUUUGAAUACCAGGUGAGCUGUGAUGUUUCAGUAUGGUUUUCAUUAGUGGUGGGAGGGAGAGAAUCUACAGUCACAACUCUGUGAUCUAAGUUCCAAAUUAGCCUUUAAUAAAAUUGUAAAUGGUAAGGGUGUAGGCCCA